RNAcentral lists this ribosomal RNA (510 nucleotides) under uncultured bacterium. RNAcentral's name for it is "bacterial SSU rRNA". It matches the Rfam family "Bacterial small subunit ribosomal RNA", at positions 28 to 526 of the family's 1533-position model. The record is from RNAcentral.
GACGAACGCUGGCGGCGUGCUUAACACAUGCAAGUCGAACGAUGAAGCGGCCAGCUUGCUGGUGGUGGAUUAGUGGCGAACGGGUGAGUAACACGUGAGUAACCUGUCCUUCACUCUGGGAUAAGCCCUGGAAACGGGGUCUAAUACUAGAUAUUCUCAAUGUGCCGCAUGGUGUGUUGUGGAAAGAUUUUUUGGUGAGGGUUGGACUCGCGGCCUAUCAGCUUGUUGGUGGGGUAGUGGCCUACCAAGGCUUUGACGGGUAGCCGGCCUGAGAGGGUGACCGGCCACACUGGGACUGAGACACGGCCCAGACUCCUACGGGAGGCAGCAGUGGGGAAUAUUGCACAAUGGGCGAAAGCCUGAUGCAGCAACGCCGCGUGAGGGAAGACGGCCUUCGGGUUGUAAACCUCUUUCAGUUGGGACGAAGCCUCUGCGGUUAAUACCCGUAUGAGGUGACGGUACCUUCAGAAGAAGCCCCGGCUAACUACGUGCCAGCCGCCGCAGUAACAC